This 408-nucleotide ribosomal RNA is filed under the name uncultured bacterium. RNAcentral's name for it is "partial 16S ribosomal RNA". It matches the Rfam family "Bacterial small subunit ribosomal RNA", at positions 28 to 526 of the family's 1533-position model. The record is from RNAcentral.
GACGAACGCUGGCGGCGUGCUUAACACAUGCAAGUCGAACGGAGUGGCGAACGGGUGAGUAACACGUGGGUGACCUGCCCUGCACUCCGGGAUACGCCUGGGAAAAUGGGUCUAAUACCGGAUAGUGUGGGAGGGGCCCGCGGCCUAUCAUCUUGUUGGUGGGGUAGGGGCCUACCAAGGCGGCGACGGGUAGCCGGCCUGGGAGGGUGGACGGCCACAUAGGGGCUGAGACACGGCCCAGACUCCUACGGGAGGCAGCAGUGGGGAAUAUUGCACAAGGGGCGGAGGACUGAUGCAGCGACGCCGCGUGGGGGAUGACGGCCUUCGGGUGGUAAACUCCUUUCACCAUCGACGCGGUAGAUGGAGAAGAAGCACCGGCUAACUACGUGCCAGCAGCCGCGGUAAUUC